Molecule: small nuclear RNA, 102 nt
Filed under: Microcebus murinus (gray mouse lemur)
Lineage: Eukaryota; Metazoa; Chordata; Mammalia; Primates; Cheirogaleidae
Source: RNAcentral
GGUUUAAUAUCUAAAAAUCAAUUAAUUGGAACUAUACAGAGAAGAUUAGCAUUGUCCAUGUACAAGGAUGACACACAACUUUGUGAAGUAUUCCAUAUUUUU